AACGAACGUUAGCGGCGCGCCUAACACAUGCAAGUCGCACGAGAAAGGGCUUCGGCCCCGGUACAGUGGCGCACGGGUGAGUAACACGUGGGUAACGUUCCCUCGGGCGGGGGAUAACCUUCCGAAAGGAGGGCUAAUACCGCAUAAGACCACGACCUCGCGAGAGGACGCGGUCAAAGCAGGCCUCUUCAUGAAAGCUUGCACCUGAGGAUCGGCCCGCGGCCCAUCAGCUAGUUGGCAGGGUAACGGCCUACCAAGGCUAAGACGGGU
This 270-nucleotide ribosomal RNA is filed under the name uncultured bacterium. Its description in RNAcentral is "partial 16S ribosomal RNA". It matches the Rfam family "Bacterial small subunit ribosomal RNA", at positions 29 to 284 of the family's 1533-position model. The record is from RNAcentral.